RNAcentral lists this ribosomal RNA (981 nucleotides) under Halorubrum sp. IARI-WRAB4. Its description in RNAcentral is "bacterial SSU rRNA". It matches the Rfam family "Archaeal small subunit ribosomal RNA", at positions 13 to 990 of the family's 1478-position model. The record is from RNAcentral. Lineage: Archaea; Methanobacteriati; Methanobacteriota; Halobacteria; Halobacteriales; Haloferacaceae.
CCUGCCGGAGGUCAUUGCUAUUGGAGUCCGAUUUAGCCAUGCUAGUUGCACGAGUUUAGACUCGUAGCAGAUAGCUCAGUAACACGUGGCCAAACUACCCUAUGGAUCCGAAUAACCUCGGGAAACUGAGGCUAAUGCGGAAUAGCGUUCAUCGCCUGGAGUGGCACGAACGCGAAACGUUACGGCGCCAUAGGAUGUGGCUGCGGCCGAUUAGGUAGACGGUGGGGUAACGGCCCACCGUGCCCAUAAUCGGUACGGGUUGUGAGAGCAAGAGCCCGGAGACGGUAUCUGAGACAAGAUACCGGGCCCUACGGGGCGCAGCAGGCGCGAAACCUUUACACUGCACGCGAGUGCGAUAAGGGGACUCCGAGUGCGAGGGCAUAUAGUCCUCGCUUUUCACGACCGUAAGGUGGUCGUAGAAUAAGUGCUGGGCAAGACCGGUGCCAGCCGCACGCGGUAAUACCGGCAGCACGAGUGAUGACCGCUAUUAUUGGGCCUAAAGCGUCCGUAGCUGGCCACGCAAGUCUAUCGGGAAAUCCGCGCGCUUAACGCGCGGGCGUCCGGUGGAAACUGCGUGGCUUGGGACCGGAAGACCAAGAGGGGUACGUCCGGGGUAGGAGUGAAAUCCCGUAAUCCUGGACGGACCACCGGUGGCGAAAGCGCCUCUGGAAGACGGAUCCGACGGUGAGGGACGAAAGCUCGGGUCACGAACCGGAUUAGAUACCCGGGUAGUCCGAGCUGUAAACAGAUGUCUGCUAGGUGUGGCACAGGCUACGAGCCUGUGCUGUGCCGUAGGGAAGCCGUGAAGCAGACCGCCUGGGAAGUACGUCCGCAAGGAUGAAACUUAAAGGAAUUGGCGGGGGAGCACUACAACCGGAGGAGCCUGCGGUUUAAUUGGACUCAACGCCGGACAUCUCACCAGCAUCGACAAUGUGCAGUGAACGUCAGGUUGAUGACCUUACUGGAGCCAUUGAGAGGAGC